RNAcentral lists this ribosomal RNA (253 nucleotides) under uncultured bacterium. Its description in RNAcentral is "partial 16S ribosomal RNA". It matches the Rfam family "Bacterial small subunit ribosomal RNA", at positions 524 to 776 of the family's 1533-position model. The record is from RNAcentral.
UACGUAGGUGGCAAGCGUUACUCGGAAUCACUAGGCGUAAAGCGCAGGUAGGCGGUUCAGUAAGUCUUUUGUGAAAGCUCCCGGCUUAACUGGGAGAGGUCAAGGGAAACUACUGGGCUCGAGUGUGGUAGAGGAAGCUAGAAUUCCCGGUGUAGCGGUGAAAUGCGUAGAUAUCUGGAGGAAUACCGGUGGCGAAGGCGGCAUCCUGGACCAUAACUGACGCUGAGGCGCGAAAGCUAGGGGAGCAAACGGG